This 177-nucleotide ribosomal RNA is filed under the name Ophiocordyceps sinensis. RNAcentral's name for it is "5.8S ribosomal RNA". The stretch from base 14 to 167 matches the Rfam family "5.8S ribosomal RNA". Rfam says of the family: 5.8S ribosomal RNA (5.8S rRNA) is a component of the large subunit of the eukaryotic ribosome. It is transcribed by RNA polymerase I as part of the 45S precursor that also contains 18S and 28S rRNA. Lineage: Eukaryota; Fungi; Ascomycota; Sordariomycetes; Hypocreales; Ophiocordycipitaceae. The record is from RNAcentral.
GCAAAUGAAUCAAAACUUUCAACAACGGAUCUCUUGGUUCUGGCAUCGAUGAAGAACGCAGCGAAAUGCGAUAAGUAAUGUGAAUUGCAGAAUUCAGUGAACCAUCGAAUCUUUGAACGCACAUUGCGCCCGCCAGCACUCUGGCGGGCAUGCCUGUCCGAGCGUCAUCUCAACCCU